RNAcentral lists this small nucleolar RNA (94 nucleotides) under Drechmeria coniospora. RNAcentral describes it as "A. fumigatus snoRNA Afu_335". It matches the Rfam family "A. fumigatus snoRNA Afu_335". The record is from Rfam by way of RNAcentral. Lineage: Eukaryota; Fungi; Ascomycota; Sordariomycetes; Hypocreales; Ophiocordycipitaceae.
CGCAAGGAUGAACCCCAGAUAGGGACAGCUUAUACUUUUGUAUUUGAUGAGAACCCUGGGUGAAAUAUUUUAGUAGAUGCUUCAGUUUCUGAGC